AGAACGAACGCUGGCGGCAUGCCUAACACAUGCAAGUCGAACGCGUGUAGCGAUACACGAGUGGCGGACGGGUGAGUAACGCGUGGGAACCUGCCCUGGAGUGUGGGAUAACCGAGGGAAACUUCGGCUAAUACCGCAUACGACCUGAGGGUGAAAGAUUUAUCGCUCUAGGAGGGGCCCGCGUCGGAUUAGCUAGUUGGUGGGGUAAAGGCCUACCAAGGCAGUGAUCCGUAGCUGGUCUGAGAGGAUGAUCAGCCACACUGGGACUGAGACACGGCCCAGACUCCUACGGGAGGCAGCAGUGGGAAUAUUGGACAAUGGGGGCAACCCUGAUCCAGCAAUGCCGCGUGAGUGAUGAAGGCCUUAGGGUUGUAAAGCUCUUUCGCGCGCGACGAUGAUGACGGUAGCGCGAGAAGAACGCCCGGCUAACUUCGCGCCAGCACGCCGC
RNAcentral lists this ribosomal RNA (448 nucleotides) under uncultured bacterium. Its description in RNAcentral is "SSU rRNA". It matches the Rfam family "Bacterial small subunit ribosomal RNA", at positions 26 to 518 of the family's 1533-position model. The record is from RNAcentral.